Small nuclear RNA from Echinops telfairi (small Madagascar hedgehog), 110 nucleotides. NCBI's taxonomy places the organism in Eukaryota, Metazoa, Chordata, Mammalia, Afrosoricida, Tenrecidae. The record is from RefSeq and is a predicted model, not a curated record.
GUGCUCACUUCGGCAGCACAUAUACUAAAAUUGGGAUGAUACAAAGAAGAUUAGCAUGGCCCCUGCACAAGGGAAGAAAAUGUUUUGAGAAUGAUGAUGGCAACAAAUGU